AGUGUAUUUAUUUAAUUUAAUAACAAGAAGAAAGAGUACAAAUAUGGAAUUUGAGUGAGGACGGACGGACACACACACACACAGUCCAUCAGCCAUCUCUCCAUCACCAUAAACCCUUUCUUCUUCUUCCCAAUCAACACACCCUACUGCCCAGAGCGCAGUUGGUACCCAAGUCCUUGCCCAUUUGAUGUGUGCUAAGAGUCAAGCAUGUCUGGCAAUCGGACUUUCGUAGAGGAGGAAGCUUCUUCUGGAUCAGGAGAUGAGGCAAACAUGUUAGAUGGGCAAAAUAAGAAUCAGUCUAUGAUCCCUCAUUCAGGUAGGCGUAAGAGAAGUCGCAAGGCAACAAGUGAUGCUAUUGUUGAUGCUAUGUUGGAAAUAGCUGCAGCUUCAAAAAUGAGGGCUGCUGCAAUCAUGAGGAAUGAGGAGCGUUUUACUAUAAGCAAAUGCAUAAGAGUAUUGGAUGAGAUGCAAGGUGUUGAUCAAACUCUCUAUUUUUACGCUUUGGAUUUAUUUGAAAAUCCCUCAGCGAGAGAAACUUUCAUUUCGCUUAAAGCUGAGAGACGGUUGGCAUGGUUGCAGGGAAAGUUUAGAGCCUCCUCAAGUGUGGUAGCUGGAGGAGUUUGAUGUGCUCUGUGCUCUUUCCUAAUGAGUCCUUCAUUUUUCUAAAAUCUGUAUUGCCUCUAGCGAGGUUUUUUGGAUCUUUGGCCCCUGUACUUAGUUUGACAUUGUGGUCAAAGAUUUUAUACCCAUGCUUUAUGAUUUAACUGUGUUUCUAGCUACUUCUUAUUUUUUUAUUGUUUUCGCUAUAUGAAAUUAUUUUUUGGAUUUAUGGUGUGAACUGUUGGUGCAAAAUCAACAUAAUCAUGUAGUCUUUUGUCGUGCAUGCCCAUUUUUCAGCGUCUAGUUGUACAGAUUACUGAUUGCCAUGGAUGACUGACAUAAGAUGGAGCUAGUUGCAGCUGCUGCUGGCUGCAAUAUUAAAAGGUAUUAGAAGGCACCCAGCUUCAUUACUGAAGUUCUCAAUGCUUAUGACAAGUUGUGCCUGGAAAAGUUAUAGACAAGCAUGUAGAGAGGCAUGCAGCAUGAUACGGCAGGAAAAGUUAUAGACAAACAUGUAUUCCAUAAGUGACACUCUUAAAGAGAGACAUGCAACGUGACGCAACAGGUCUCAUGAAGAGGGAUUGCUUGACUAGGUCUUGAAUAUUGCUGGCCGCAUGAACAUAAGCUAGCGAUACAAGAGUGAAUUCGGUGUUUUGCGGGAAAGCAGUAAGUAGGCAUUUUGAUAAUGUACAAGUUACUUUUUGCACAAGGUUUUGUCAGCUGCCGACUCUCAUGAUUCCAUAGAAGAUCCUCCAAAGCACUAGAUCCUACCCAUAUUUUGAGGACGGGUUUGCAGCAGUAGACGGGAUGAAUAUACCUGCCCAGGUUCCAGGAAAAGAUCAAUUCAUUUCAUGUAUCCUAGGUGGAAAUGCUCAGCUGCAGAUUCACACAUUUCAAGAGCUGUUCUUAGCGACCCCGACAAAACUUCCUUCAAGUUCCUGAAAGGUAGAGGUCAAAUGCAGAGUCAAUUGAACAUCGUGCAUGCAUGUAUAUUUCCUUCGUUUCUUCCCCCAAAUGUCAUGAUGAUCUAUAGUAUGAUGCAUGUAUACUAACAGUUGAUGGGGCAGGAAAUUAUAUCUUCCCUGAUCUGGGUAUGGUAAUAUGGUUGAAUUUAUUGCUCAAUGUGAAGUAGUUGGUUAUCACAUCCAUGACUGUAGAGGUGCUAAUCUUUUACCAAAGAAUGCAAAGGAACUAUUUGAUCA
Non-coding RNA from Sesamum indicum (sesame), 1802 nucleotides. The record is from RefSeq and is a predicted model, not a curated record. NCBI's taxonomy places the organism in Eukaryota, Viridiplantae, Streptophyta, Magnoliopsida, Lamiales, Pedaliaceae.